UUUGGAAGUACAGGCCUAUUUAUGUUAGUCAGUUUAAAGUCGUUCACCAUUUAGCGUUAUCCUUGAUACCACUUCAUUGCGAAUUCCUUCUAAUUAAUUCCCAUAAGUAAAAAUAAAAAAACAAACCUUAUACGCCUUAUGGCAAUCAAAAAAUUAAAGGAAAUUCUAUGUCUAAUACAAUGACUGGUUCAGUAAAAUGGUUUAAUGAUAAUAAAGGUUUUGGUUUUAUCACUCCUAAAGACGGCAGCAAGGAUGUUUUUGUUCAUUUCUCUGCAAUUCAGAGUGAUAACUUCAAAUCCUUAAGCGAAGGCCAGGAGGUAUCAUUUACUAUGGAAAAUGGAAUGAAAGGUCCUGCCGCUGGUAAUGUGGUGGCGCUUUAAAGACAACAUAAUCAUUAGUUUCUAUUUUAAAUGCCC
This 416-nucleotide small RNA is filed under the name Morganella morganii. RNAcentral's name for it is "cspA thermoregulator". It matches the Rfam family "cspA thermoregulator". Lineage: Bacteria; Pseudomonadati; Pseudomonadota; Gammaproteobacteria; Enterobacterales; Morganellaceae. The record is from RNAcentral.